UACGGAAGGCAGCAGUAGGGAAUCUUCCGCAAUGGACGAAAGUCUGACGGAGCAACGCCGCGUGAACGAUGAAGGCUUUCGGGUCGUAAAGUUCUGUUGUUAGGGAAGAACAAGUACCAGAGUAACUGCUGGUACCUUGACGGUACCUAACCAGAAAGCCACGGCUAACUACGUGCCAGCAGCCGCGGUAAUACGUAGGUGGCAAGCGUUGUCCGGAAUUAUUGGGCGUAAAGCGCGCGCAGGUGGUUCUUUAAGUCUGAUGUGAAAGCCCACGGCUCAACCGUGAGGGUCAUUGGAAACUGGGGAACUUGAGUGCAGAAGAGGAAAGUGGAAUUCCACGUGUAGCGGUGAAAUGCGUAGAGAUGUGGAGGAACACCAGUGGCGAAGGGCGACUUUUCUGGUCUGUAACUGACACUGAGGCGCGAAAGCGUGGGGAGCGGAACAGGGAUUAGAUACC
RNAcentral lists this ribosomal RNA (457 nucleotides) under uncultured bacterium. Its description in RNAcentral is "bacterial SSU rRNA". It matches the Rfam family "Bacterial small subunit ribosomal RNA", at positions 340 to 786 of the family's 1533-position model. The record is from RNAcentral.